CACGGGGGGAACGCGAAGAACCUUACCAGAUCUUGACAUCCUCUGACAAUCCAGGAAACUGGACGUUCCCUUCGGGGACAGAGUGACAGGUGGUGCAUGGUUGUCGUCAGCUCGUGUCGUGAGAUGUUGGGUUAAGUCCCGUAACGAGCGCAACCCUUAUUGUUAGUUGCCAGCAUUCAGUUGGGCACUCUAGCGAGACUGCCGGUGAUAAACCGGAGGAAGGUGGGGAUGACGUCAAAUCAUCAUGCCCCUUAUGAUCUGGGCUACACACGUGCUACAAUGGAUGGUACAACGAGUUGCGAGACCGCGAGGUUCAGCUAAUCUCCUAAAGCCAUUCUCAGUCCGGAUUGCAGGCUGCAACUCGCCUGCAUGAAGCCGGAAUCGCUAGUAAUCGCGGAUCAGAACGCCGCGGUGAAUACGUUCCCGGGUCUUGUACACACGC
Molecule: ribosomal RNA, 442 nt
Filed under: uncultured soil bacterium
Lineage: Bacteria
Description: bacterial SSU rRNA
Rfam family: Bacterial small subunit ribosomal RNA
Source: RNAcentral